Long non-coding RNA from Gadus macrocephalus (Pacific cod), 1335 nucleotides. RefSeq lists it as uncharacterized. The record is from RefSeq and is a predicted model, not a curated record. The transcript is spliced from 2 exons. NCBI's taxonomy places the organism in Eukaryota, Metazoa, Chordata, Actinopteri, Gadiformes, Gadidae.
CGGACCGGACGGCGCCAUGGGUUGCUUCGGUAGCGUCCGUGAUUCCUGGGUUGUUGUUGAGUAUAGGGCUGUGCCGAUUUUUUUAAAAUGCAGUCUGUCUGCGAUUAAAUAGCCCGUCGCAACAACUACACCAAACUUUCUCUGCGUCAAGCAAGUACAACUCAUGGUUAUUCAACUCAAAAUAAGCGCCCUGUUUUCAUUGUUAUGAGCCAAUCAAAUCAGACCACACCUAUCUUUCUCUAUCUUUCUAGCUAUGUCUCUUUUGCCUUCUUUUUAUCUACCGAUCAAAUUAGGUCUGGCUCUGGCAGCAGUUUUAAAGGUUACAUUGCAAUAUAUUUCCAGACUUAACCUUAUUGUCAAUCACCUUUCCAAACCAGAGGUAUUAGUUACUUUUGAUUACACCUUCAUAAUUGUAUACACUAUAUGUAUAUACAGUUAUUUUAUUAGUUAUUUUGCAGGUGAGUAAAAAAAACAAUGUAUCUUCUCUUCUCCUCCUCCACUUUAGCGUUGCACUCCAGAUAGUCCAGCCAAAUUCCCAGGCCUAGUUCCAAGCCCGCUCGAUAGUGUGGUUUUAAUCAGAACAAAGCAUGCCCCUGGUUUGUGUUUCUUGCACAUCAGACACGGGUCUGUUAGUCUGCCGUUUUACGGGCUUUAAACAAGAGUUAGAAAAAAGGGAUGCUAGCUAUUUGGCAAGUAACACAAAACCAAACCAAAACCUGUAGUAGAAUUUUUUGAAAAAAUCCUUAGAAAACAAUUUAUUCUGAAGCUGCUGAACGUUCAACAUCCAAAAGCAGAUGUUGAAUGAUAUGAUGAGUGAUGAGAUUGAAUGAUGAGAUACAUGGCUAUGUGGAUUAAACAAUCAAAUAUGUUUGCACAAAGAAUCAAAUGAUAUUCAUGGAGGGAGGGACAGAUAGAUGGAUAGGUAAUUGGGACCGCUUGUUCUUGACCAAUCAAAAAGGUACUCACAACACACCAGAUUGGGUGUCAUUAGAGCGAUUCCGACCAAAUGGGGUCUGCCCAGAGUGGGUCAGACCAGGGUUCUGUUGAGAGACAGACAGUUUUUGGUUCUCAGCCCGGUAGCGUGGGGCUGUCUGUCUCUGGGUGGCGCUCCACGUCAGCCCCCCUGCCGUGAACCAGAUCUCCUCAUGUGGCAGAGUAACACCGGAGCCGGCGGCGGACCCCUGCAGCUGCCGCUGUGUAGUAUGUCAGCAUGUCAACGUGUGGGAACGGCGGGGACAGCGAGCCUUACUGUUUACUGGGUGCUUUGGAUUCUGGGAAGGGAGACCCAGAUAGUAGGAAAAGGAUUUGUUGAUUUGUUGGUGUGUGCAACUGUAC